RNAcentral lists this ribosomal RNA (107 nucleotides) under Geoclemys hamiltonii. RNAcentral's name for it is "partial 16S ribosomal RNA". Lineage: Eukaryota; Metazoa; Chordata; Testudines; Geoemydidae. The record is from RNAcentral.
GCAAUAACCUUAGCCUAACCAAAACAAUAAACCCAAAUAAACAAAAUUAUCCUACCAAAACCAACCAAAACAUUUUUCACGAUCCUAGUAUAGGCGAUAGAAAAGAC